This 1614-nucleotide ribosomal RNA is filed under the name Providencia rettgeri. RNAcentral describes it as "partial 23S ribosomal RNA". Lineage: Bacteria; Pseudomonadati; Pseudomonadota; Gammaproteobacteria; Enterobacterales; Morganellaceae. The record is from RNAcentral.
GUUGGGUAGGGGAGCGUUCUGUAAGCCUGUGAAGGUGUGCUGUGAGGYAUGCUGGAGGUAUCAGAAGUGCGAAUGCUGACAUAAGUAACGAUAAUGCGGGUGAAAAACCCGCACGCCGGAAGACCAAGGGUUCCUGUCCAACGUUAAUCGGGGCAGGGUGAGUCGACCCCUAAGGCGAGGCAGAAAUGCGUAGUCGAUGGGAAACGGGUUAAUAUUCCCGUACUGGUGAUAAUUGCGAUGGGGGGACGGAGAAGGCUAGGCUAUCCGGGCGACGGUUGUCCCGGUUUAAGGAUGUAGGCAGGUGAAUUAGGCAAAUCCGGUUCACUAUAUGCUGAGGUCCGAYGACGAGUCACUACGGUGAUGAAGUAGCUCAUGCCCCGCUUCCAGGAAAAGCCUCUAAGCUCUAGAUUAUCAUUAAUCGUACCCCAAACCGACACAGGUGGUCAGGUAGAGAAUACUCAGGCGCUUGAGAGAACUCGGGUGAAGGAACUAGGCAAAAUGGUGCCGUAACUUCGGGAGAAGGCACGCUGGCAUUAGGUGAAGUGAUUUACUCAUGGAGCUGAAGCCAGUCGCAGAUACCAGCUGGCUGCAACUGUUUAUUAAAAACACAGCACUGUGCAAACACGAAAGUGGACGUAUACGGUGUGACGCCUGCCCGGUGCUGGAAGGUUAAUUGAUGGGGUUAUCCGUAAGGAGAAGCUCUUGAUCGAAGCCCCAGUAAACGGCGGCCGUAACUAUAACGGUCCUAAGGUAGCGAAAUUCCUUGUCGGGUAAGUUCCGACCUGCACGAAUGGCGUAAUGAUGGCCAGGCUGUCUCCACCCGAGACUCAGUGAAAUUGAACUCGCUGUGAAGAUGCAGUGUACCCGCGGCAAGACGGAAAGACCCCGUGAACCUUUACUAUAGCUUGACACUGAACAUUGAGCCUUGAUGUGUAGGAUAGGUGGGAGGCUUYGAAGCGUGGACGCCAGUCUGCGUGGAGCCAACCUUGAAAUACCACCCUUUAAUGUUUGAUGUUCUAACGUUGCCCCRUUAUCUGGGGUGCGGACAGUGUCUGGUGGGUAGUUUGACUGGGGCGGUCUCCUCCCAAAGAGUAACGGAGGAGCACGAAGGUUGGCUAAGCAUGGUCGGACAUCAUGCGGUUAGUGCAAAGGCAUAAGCCAGCUUGACUGCGAGAGUGACGGCUCGAGCAGGUACGAAAGUAGGUCUUAGUGAUCCGGUGGUUCUGAAUGGAAGGGCCAUCGCUCAACGGAUAAAAGGUACUCCGGGGAUAACAGGCUGAUACCGCCCAAGAGUUCAUAUCGACGGCGGUGUUUGGCACCUCGAUGUCGGCUCAUCACAUCCUGGGGCUGAAGUAGGUCCCAAGGGUACGGCUGUUCGCCGUUUAAAGUGGUACGCGAGCUGGGUUUAGAACGUCGUGAGACAGUUCGGUCCCUAUCUGCCGUGGGCGUUGGAAGAUUGAAAGGGGCUGCUCCUAGUACGAGAGGACCGGAGUGGACGCACCACUGGUGUUCGGGUUGUCAUGCCAAUGGCAUUGCCCGGUAGCUAAGUGCGGAAGAGAUAACCGCUGAAAGCAUCUAAGCGGGAAACUUGCCUUGAGAUGAGUCUUCCCUGAC